RNAcentral lists this ribosomal RNA (495 nucleotides) under uncultured bacterium. RNAcentral's name for it is "partial 16S ribosomal RNA". It matches the Rfam family "Bacterial small subunit ribosomal RNA", at positions 28 to 507 of the family's 1533-position model. The record is from RNAcentral.
GACGAACGCUGGCGGCGUGCCUAAUACAUGCAAGUAGAACGCUGAAGGAGGAGCUUGCUCUUCUGGAUGAGUUGCGAACGGGUGAGUAACGCGUAGGUAACCUGCCUGGUAGCGGGGGAUAACUAUUGGAAACGAUAGCUAAUACCGCAUAAGAGUAGAUGUUGCAUGACAUUUACUUAAAAGGUGCAAUUGCAUCACUACCAGAUGGACCUGCGUUGUAUUAGCUAGUUGGUGGGGUAACGGCUUACCAAGGCGACGAUACAUAGCCGACCUGAGAGGGUGAUCGGCCACACUGGGACUGAGACACGGCCCAGACUCCUACGGGAGGCAGCAGUAGGGAAUCUUCGGCGAUGGACGGAAGUCUGACCGAGCAACGCCGCGUGAGUGAAGAAGGUUUUCGGAUCGUAAAGCUCUGUUGUAAGAGAAGAACGAGUGUGAGAGUGGAAAGUUCACACUGUGACGGUAUCUUACCAGAAAGGGACGGCUAACUACGUG